UCCCUGGUGGCUCAGACAGUAAAGCAUCUGCCUGCAAUGCAGGAGACCCAGGUUCGAUCCCUGGGUGGGGAA
This 72-nucleotide transfer RNA is filed under the name Bos taurus (domestic cattle). It matches the Rfam family "tRNA". From Rfam's summary of the family: Transfer RNA (tRNA) molecules are approximately 80 nucleotides in length. Their secondary structure includes four short double-helical elements and three loops (D, anti-codon, and T loops). Further hydrogen bonds mediate the characteristic L-shaped molecular structure. tRNAs have two regions of fundamental functional importance: the anti-codon, which is responsible for specific mRNA codon recognition, and the 3' end, to which the tRNAs corresponding amino acid is attached (by aminoacyl-tRNA synthetases). tRNAs cope with the degeneracy of the genetic code in two manners: having more than one tRNA (with a specific anti-codon) for a particular amino acid; and 'wobble' base-pairing, i.e. permitting non-standard base-pairing at the 3rd anti-codon position. RNAcentral also lists the same sequence under 1 other name. Lineage: Eukaryota; Metazoa; Chordata; Mammalia; Artiodactyla; Bovidae. The record is from Rfam by way of RNAcentral.